UCCUGGCUCAGAUUGAACGCUGGCGGCAUGCCUUACACAUGCAAGUCGAACGGCAGCACGGGUGCUUGCACCUGGUGGCGAGUGGCGAACGGGUGAGUAAUAUAUCGGAACGUACCUUGUAGUGGGGGAUAGCUCGGCGAAAGCCGGAUUAAUACCGCAUACGCUCUGAGGAGGAAAGCGGGGGACCUUCGGGCCUCGCGCUACAAGAGCGGCCGAUAUCAGAUUAGCUAGUUGGUGGGGUAAAAGCUUACCAAGGCGACGAUCUGUAGCUGGUCUGAGAGGACGACCAGCCACACUGGGACUGAGACACGGCCCAGACUCCUACGGGAGGCAGCAGUGGGGAAUUUUGGACAAUGGGCGAAAGCCUGAUCCAGCAAUGCCGCGUGUGUGAAGAAGGCCUUCGGGUUGUAAAGCACUUUUGUCCGGAAAGAAAUCCUCUGGGUUAAUACCUCGGGGGGAUGA
RNAcentral lists this ribosomal RNA (462 nucleotides) under Pandoraea sputorum. RNAcentral's name for it is "bacterial SSU rRNA". It matches the Rfam family "Bacterial small subunit ribosomal RNA", at positions 17 to 472 of the family's 1533-position model. Lineage: Bacteria; Pseudomonadati; Pseudomonadota; Betaproteobacteria; Burkholderiales; Burkholderiaceae. The record is from RNAcentral.